This 253-nucleotide ribosomal RNA is filed under the name uncultured bacterium. RNAcentral's name for it is "partial 16S ribosomal RNA". It matches the Rfam family "Bacterial small subunit ribosomal RNA", at positions 524 to 776 of the family's 1533-position model. The record is from RNAcentral.
UACGGGGGGGGCAAGCGUUGUUCGGAAUUACUGGGCGUAAAGGGCUCGUAGGCGGCCAACUAAGUCAUACGUGAAAUCCCUCGGCUUAACCGGGGAACUGCGUCUGAUACUGGAUGGCUUGAGUUCGGGAGAGGGAUGCGGAAUUCCGGGUGUAGCGGUGGAAUGCGUAGAGAUCCGGAAGAACACCGGUGGCGAAGGCGGCCUGCUGGGCAGUUGCUGACACUGAGGCGCGACAGCGUGGGGAGCAAACAGG